GGCUUAGUGGUGUAUAGGUUUGCACGUUAAAGUUUCAGUUUAAGGGAGUGUGAUGUGACACCUAGGUUA
RNAcentral lists this transfer RNA (69 nucleotides) under Nautilus macromphalus (bellybutton nautilus). Its description in RNAcentral is "tRNA-Glu". The record is from RNAcentral. Lineage: Eukaryota; Metazoa; Mollusca; Cephalopoda; Nautilida; Nautilidae.